UGCUCUUCCUAUCUGGCUGACCCAGAUUCUAAAAAGGAAGCUGGCAAUGCCACCAGCCCUGAGAUGGAUAACCCACUGCUCGAGGCACCUCCAUUUAUCCAGGCUGUUUAUACAGAAGCUGGAUACAAUAAGAUUAGUAAUCAAAGAUACUGGCAUGCUUGCUUAUGCAAGCAUUUGUGGGAAGCCUUGUAUCGCAGAUGUGAUUCCUUUAAAGAACACAUUGCUAAGUACAUCAGAGGGGAGCUAAAACUGUCCAUGUAAGAAGAGGAAGUUGACACUUGUCUCUAAAGAUGUGCUAGACAUGAUUCACCGAACAGCCAGUUCAUGACCAACUGCAAAGCCACAAAUAAUUGUAUUAAUAGAUAAACUUAUUCUAUGUCUGAUCUGGGGCUGGAAACUUUUCGCUGAGAUGUUCAAAUUCUAAAAAAUCAUGAUUCAGCUGUAACAUGAAUUGUAUUUUUUCUAUCCUUGUCAAGUUCCUUGUUCCUAUCACUAUAUAAGAGAAGUUUAAACUUCAGUAAAAUUACAGCAGUUCACU
Mesocricetus auratus (golden hamster) is the source of this 538-nucleotide long non-coding RNA. RefSeq lists it as uncharacterized. The record is from RefSeq and is a predicted model, not a curated record. NCBI's taxonomy places the organism in Eukaryota, Metazoa, Chordata, Mammalia, Rodentia, Cricetidae. The transcript has 3 exons.